Long non-coding RNA from Scomber scombrus (Atlantic mackerel), 150 nucleotides. RefSeq lists it as uncharacterized. The record is from RefSeq and is a predicted model, not a curated record. NCBI's taxonomy places the organism in Eukaryota, Metazoa, Chordata, Actinopteri, Scombriformes, Scombridae. The transcript is spliced from 3 exons.
GGCUGGUUGAGGUUCCUCAUCGUGUCUGUGGGUUUAACUGCACUCAUAAUAAUCGUUGUGUCAGUCAGCAUCUGGACGAGAACUAAAGGGAACAAAACACAGAUCAGUGACAAUGCUGUGCAUGAUGAUGAAGAUGGAGAUGAAGCUACG